RNAcentral lists this unclassified non-coding RNA (421 nucleotides) under Schischkinia albispina. RNAcentral's name for it is "partial external transcribed spacer". Lineage: Eukaryota; Viridiplantae; Streptophyta; Magnoliopsida; Asterales; Asteraceae. The record is from RNAcentral.
GUAAAGGUGCAUGAGUGGUGUUUGGUUUGUUACGGGUGGUUGGCUGACUGCUUGCGCAGCAACGUCCACGCGUGCAUACCUCUUCAGUUUUGCGUCAAGGCUUGGUUUGUCUUGAGCAAUUUGUGGGUUUCCUGUGUUGCAUACCUAACCGAUGGUAAUGUGUGGGUUUACGAUGUCCCUUUUCGUCAUGCGCUGCUCACGCGGUGUGGGAUGAACCUCGAAGCGGUCUUUGCAAUCCACCUUGCCGUUGUCUCUCAACGAUGAUGUGGCUUGUGAAGCGUYGCUUGGUCUCUUGUAUACGGAACCUGAUGUGGGCAUGGGUCUUUCGAGAUCCUGAAUSUGCCCUUGUUAAGCGUUCUCGCUUCUCUAAAACGAUCGUCUUUCAUGUCUUGGCUUGUCCUUGCGUGGAAGGCUACGUCGA